RNAcentral lists this ribosomal RNA (491 nucleotides) under uncultured Microbacterium sp. RNAcentral describes it as "bacterial SSU rRNA". It matches the Rfam family "Bacterial small subunit ribosomal RNA", at positions 903 to 1382 of the family's 1533-position model. Lineage: Bacteria; Bacillati; Actinomycetota; Actinomycetes; Micrococcales; Microbacteriaceae. The record is from RNAcentral.
GCUCAAGAACUACGAAAGGAAUUCGACGGGACCCGCACAAGCGGCGGAGCAUGCGGAUUAAUUCGAUGCAACGCGAAGAACCUUACCAAGGCUUGACAUAUAGAGGAAACGUCUGGAAACAGUCGCCCCGCAAGGUCUCUAUACAGGUGGUGCAUGGUUGUCGUCAGCUCGUGUCGUGAGAUGUUGGGUUAAGUCCCGCAACGAGCGCAACCCUCGUUCUAUGUUGCCAGCACGUAAUGGUGGGAACUCAUGGGAUACUGCCGGGGUCAACUCGGAGGAAGGUGGGGAUGACGUCAAAUCAUCAUGCCCCUUAUGUCUUGGGCUUCACGCAUGCUACAAUGGCCGGUACAAAGGGCUGCAAUACCGUAAGGUGGAGCGAAUCCCAAAAAGCCGGUCCCAGUUCGGAUUGAGGUCUGCAACUCGACCUCAUGAAGUCGGAGUCGCUAGUAAUCGCGGAUCAGCAUGCCACGGUGAAUACGUUCCCGGGCCUU